RNAcentral lists this ribosomal RNA (406 nucleotides) under uncultured bacterium. Its description in RNAcentral is "partial 16S ribosomal RNA". It matches the Rfam family "Bacterial small subunit ribosomal RNA", at positions 29 to 526 of the family's 1533-position model. The record is from RNAcentral.
AUUGAACGCUGGCGGCAGGCCUAACACAUGCAAGUCGAACGAGUGGCGGACGGGUGAGUAAUGUCUGGGAAACUGCCCGAUGGAGGGGGAUAACUACUGGAAACGGUAGCUAAUACCGCAUACCAUCGGAUGUGCCCAGAUGGGAUUAGCUAGUAGGUGGGGUAACGGCUCACCUAGGCGACGAUCCCUAGCUGGUCUGAGAGGAUGACCACGCACAUUGGAACUGGGACACGGCCCAGACUCAUACGGGAGGCAGCAGUGUGGAAUAGUGCGCAGUGGGCGGAAGCAUGAUGCAGCCAGGCCGGGUGUAUGGAGAAGGCCUUGGGGUUGUAAAGUACUUUCAGCGGGGAGGCGUUACACGCAGAAGAAGCACCGGCUAACUCCGUGCCAGCAGCCGCGGUAAUUC